GAUGAAGAACGUAGCGUAAUGCGAUAAGUAGUGUGAAUUGCAGAAUUCAGUGAAUCAUCGAAUCUUUGAACGCACAUUGCGCCCUUUGGUAUUCCAAAGGGCAUGCCUGUUCGAGCGUCAUUUGUACCCUCAAGCUUUGCUUGGUGUUGGGCGUCUUGUCUCUAGCUUUGCUGGAGACUCGCCUUAAAGUAAUUGGCAGCCGGCCUACUGGUUUCGGAGCGCAGCACAAGUCGCACUCUCUAUCAGCAAAGGUCUAGCAUCCACUAAGCCUUUUUUUCAACUUUUGACCUCGGAUCAGGUAGGGAUACCCGCUGAACUUAAGCAUAUCAAUAAGCGGAGGA
This 341-nucleotide unclassified non-coding RNA is filed under the name soil metagenome. RNAcentral describes it as "partial contains 5.8S ribosomal RNA, internal transcribed spacer 2, and large subunit ribosomal RNA". The stretch from base 1 to 120 matches the Rfam family "5.8S ribosomal RNA", at positions 35 to 154 of the family's 154-position model. The record is from RNAcentral.